GAUGAAUGCUGGCGGCGUGCCUAACACAUGCAAGUCGAGCGGUAACAGGGAUAGUUUACUAUCUGCUGACGAGCGGCGGACGGCUGAGUAACGCGUGGGAACGUGCCCCAAAGUGAGGGAUAAGCACCAGAAAUGGUGUCUAAUACCGCAUAUGGUCUUCGGAUUAAAGUAUUUAUACGCUUUGGGAGCGGCCCGCGUCUGAUUAGAUUGUUGGUGAGGUAAAGGCUCACCAAGUCGACGAUCAGUAGCUGGUCUGAGAGGAUGAUCAGCCAGACUGGAACUGAGACACGGUCCAGACUCCUACGGGAGGCAGCAGUGGGGAAUCUUAGACAAUGGGGGCAACCCUGAUCUAGCCAUGCCGCGUGAGUGAUGAAGGCCUUAGGGUUGUAAAGCUCUUUCAGCUGGGAAGAUAAUGACGGUACCAGCAGAAGAAGCCCCGGCUAACUCCGUGCCAGCAGCCGC
Molecule: ribosomal RNA, 462 nt
Filed under: uncultured bacterium
Lineage: Bacteria
Description: bacterial SSU rRNA
Rfam family: Bacterial small subunit ribosomal RNA
Source: RNAcentral